Molecule: long non-coding RNA, 230 nt
Filed under: Neogale vison (American mink)
Lineage: Eukaryota; Metazoa; Chordata; Mammalia; Carnivora; Mustelidae
Description: Neovison vison (American mink) lncRNA (ENSNVIG00000021271.1)
Source: RNAcentral
AUGUCAAAUAUAAUGCAUUGUUUCAUAUCUUUGUUUUUGUUUUUUUUUCCUGCUCAGCACAUUUUCCCAUUAAAUGGCUUCUGGAAAAAGCAAUCCCCUAGACACACAGAUGAACAUAGGACCCAGGCAUCUCCAUUUCUCCCAGCAAUACCGAUGACACUAAUAGAGCUCAAGAUCCUGACAGAAAAAUACAUUACAGACUGGGAUACAUCAAAAUAAAAUGGAACUUG